AGCAUGAUCAAAGCUUGCUUGAUGAUGGCGACCGGCGCACGGUGAGUAACGCGUAUCCAACCUUCCCCUUAGUAGGGCAUAGCCCGUAGAAAUGCGGAUUAAUACCCUAUGUUAUCGUCGAGGACAUCUGAAAUGAAUAAAGGUUUACCGCUAAGGGAUGGGGAUGCGUCCGAUUAGGCAGCAGGCGGGGUAACGGCCCACCUGGCCAACGAUCGGUAGGGGUUCUGAGAGGAAGGUCCCCCCACAUUGGAACUGAGACACGGUCCAAACUCCUACGGGAGGCAGCAGUGAGGAAUAUUGGUCAAUGGGCGAGAGCCUGAACCAGCCAAGUAGCGUGCAGGAUGACGGCCCUAUGGGUUGUAAACUGCUUUUAUGCGGGGAUAAAGUCACCCACGUGUGGGUGUUUGUAGGUACCGCAUGAAUAGGGACCGGCUAAUUCCGUGCCAGCAGCCGC
Molecule: ribosomal RNA, 454 nt
Filed under: uncultured bacterium
Lineage: Bacteria
Description: bacterial SSU rRNA
Rfam family: Bacterial small subunit ribosomal RNA
Source: RNAcentral